RNAcentral lists this ribosomal RNA (486 nucleotides) under uncultured bacterium. RNAcentral describes it as "partial 16S ribosomal RNA". It matches the Rfam family "Bacterial small subunit ribosomal RNA", at positions 30 to 507 of the family's 1533-position model. The record is from RNAcentral.
AUUGAACGCUGGCGGCAUGCCUUACACAUGCAAGUCGAACGGCAGCACGGUUGCUUCCACCUGGUGGCGAGUGCGGGACGCGUGAGUAAUACAUCGGAACAUGUCCUUAAGUGGGGGCUAGCGCGGAGAAAGGCGAAUUAAUACCACAUACGCACCCCGGAUACAAGUGAAAGCACUGCGGGCCCCGAACUAGAGCGUUGGCCGAUGUCUGAUUAGCUAGUUGGUGGGGUAAAGGCCUACCAAGGCGACGAUCAGUAGCUGGUCUGAGAGGAUGAUCAGCCACACUGGAACUGAGACACGGUCCAGACUCCUACGGGAGGCAGCAGUGGGGAAUAUUGGACAAUGGGCGCAAGCCUGAUCCAGCCAUACCGCGUGGGUGAAGAAGGCCUUCGGGUUGUAAAGCACUUUUGUUGGGAAAGAAAAGCAGCAGGUUAAUACCGCGCUGUUAUGACGGUACCCAAAGAAUAAGCACCGGCUAACUUCGUG